This 319-nucleotide non-coding RNA is filed under the name Pan troglodytes (chimpanzee). The record is from RNAcentral. Lineage: Eukaryota; Metazoa; Chordata; Mammalia; Primates; Hominidae.
GAGGAAACCCAGGACUUCAGAGAGCCAUACAAUUUGAAAGACGAAGCACCGUGAAAUGCAGAAAGUUGUGGUUCGGAUAGCUCAGCUGAUUAAUUUCAUGUUGCCACAGUUUGUCAAACAUGGACAAGAUGGCUGGGGUCCUGUGGAGUUCUGGUAAUCUUCUUAUGAUAAUAAAGCAACCUUAUGCCAUAUGAUAUGCUAAGGAUGGAGGAAGAUAGAGUCUAGGUGCCUGAUGACAACAUGGAGCUGUCAAGCCCUGCAUUGCCUCCCCCUGGACGUCUCAUUAUGGGAGAAAAUGAAGCAAUUUGUUUAAGCCACA